Molecule: signal recognition particle RNA, 97 nt
Filed under: Escherichia coli
Lineage: Bacteria; Pseudomonadati; Pseudomonadota; Gammaproteobacteria; Enterobacterales; Enterobacteriaceae
Description: signal recognition particle sRNA small type
Rfam family: Bacterial small signal recognition particle RNA
About the family: The signal recognition particle (SRP) is a universally conserved ribonucleoprotein involved in the co-translational targeting of proteins to membranes. Archaeal SRP consists of a 7S RNA and homologues of the eukaryotic SRP19 and SRP54 proteins.
Source: RNAcentral
UGUUGGUUCUCCCGCAACGCUACACUGUUUACCAGGUCAGGUCCGGAAGGAAGCAGCCAAGGCAGAUGACGCGUGUGCCGGGAUGUAGCUGGCAGGG